UUUUCUCCACGCAGCGCAACGCUACCAGUCCACCACCGCCGCCUCCUCCUUUCCUCCACACCGCCAAGGCCACGAACCAACCCCCGUCCUCCCUCUCGCCGCCUGCUCCGGCCUGCUUCCUCGGGUGCCCGCGCGUGAGCGAGGGAGCGCGGCCGCCCCGGCCUGCUUCCUCGGGUGCCCGCGUGUGGGCGGCUAGGGAGCGCGGUGACCCCGGCCGCACGGCCUGCUUGCUCGGGCGCUCGCGCGUGGGCGGCUAGGGCGCGAGGCGAGCGCGGCGGCCGGGCCGCGCGGGGCCGACAUGGAGAGAUGGAUUUGAAGGCCGCGGUGCUCUCCUGGUCGGUCCAGGAGGUCGCCGACGACGACUCCUACAGGGGCAAGCAUUCUUUCAGCAGAGUUUGUGCGGGUUGUUGUUCCUGAUGGAAAAGCUGUAGAUGCAAUGGUUCCAUAAACUGUGAAAAGGACUUACACUCCCCUCAAUGGGACGGAACAUGAGAUACGUGCACUUCCAAUUUUGCAGUUUACUGUCUUGCAAUUGUCCUAUCUUUACCUGGUUGUAACAAAAUGCAUUCGCGCCAAGUUUUUUUUUGUACUUUUCAUGCUAACUUAAAGAAAAACAGUAGUUAACCAAAAUUGAUUGAACAUGAGGAAUGAAGUGAGAUUGAGAAAUCUAAAGGCUAAGAACUGGUAGGGAGUGAUUAGUUAGUAGUACCUGCACCCAUUGGUUUCGUAAAUUAAUUCAAUGCCAAGAAGGAAUGGGCCAUGCUAUUUUGAUUUCUUUGUAGCUUCAUCACAUUACAAUAUUAUUUCUGUCAUUGUAUCAUUGUUUUUGGAAUUUUAUGUAUUGUGGUAUCGUCACAUCCAUAUAAUGUACCCAGGCAACGUAGUUUCUUGACGAGUAAACUAUAAGUUACCGGAAUUUUGUGUUUGAUGUAUGUCCAGUGUCAACAUAGGAUUCUUAUGUCACAAAAAUGUGAUUCUGAAAUAAUUACCAGAUUUUGAUCGUAAACUUUGUUACUACACCACUUAUCAUAUAUACCAUGACUAUUAUGGUCAUUUCCAAUCAGUUUUUGAUCUUCUCCAAUUUGCCAAAAGGUGAAAUUCUAAUUUGUUGUUAACAAUGGUCUGAUGUGUUUCAUCUUGCUACUUUUGUUUAGAUUAUGGCUUUGUUUUAAGCUACACUGUCGUGGUUAUAGUAAAAUAUUAUCAGCUCCUUUUCUUCUGUUAAUUGGUGUUCAUUAUCUCAAUGCAGGUAAACAUAGAUGAGGGGGAAAGCUUCAUCCUCUGUCUUCUCCCCCUCACUAUUUGCCUGCUGAGAACGCUGGAGGGCAUUCUUUACCAAAUAAGCUGCGUAGUCUAUCAUCUGAAGGGUUUGUUCAACUGUUAUCGGCUAUUUUUAGGAUAGUUCUGGUACAUCUGCUGCAAGCAGCUGAAGUUAAAAAAAAUAGUUCAGUGGAUCAUGAGAAACCUUGAUGGGAACAUGAGUUCUGAUAACACAAAUCCUGUCAUACAACAUGGUGGAUCAGUUGACUUUUCCCAAGGGAAUGACAACGGUGUUACUUCACGGGUCUCCAAUACUGUUACAUGCAGUACUACUAAGCUUCCAUUGUUUCAAGGAAAAGCAACUGAUAUGUCCAGUACAAAUUUAAUAAAAAAAAUGCUCGGUACAUUAAGUUCUAACAUGUUUUUUCUUCCAUAAAACCAAGUUGAUUCGUCAUGGUGAUGCUGUGAGCUGAUAUGUUGAGAGAAAGCACAGAAGCAGUUUUUGCUGCGUGUGAUGCUGCACAUGGACGAUGUGCUAAGCUGAUAGGUGUUCGUGCUGCUCUACAUCCCAAGUAGAGGAUUCUGGAGUUCCUGAUCAUCCAUAAUACACCCUCUGAUUCUAAAUAUAAGAUGUCCCGCUGGUUCCAUUUAAUCUGUCAAAACGCCUUAUAUUUAGGAACGGAAGUAGUAUAAAAGAAGAAUCUAUAGCUGGUACAGAAAAGGUUAUUAAUUUUCUGUUUAAAUAAUAUGCACAGACACACAUUAGUUUCAUAAAAGCAAGUUAUGAUAUUAUCUUAACCUCUUGUCCUCAUAGAUUGGAGGCAGGUUAGGUUACAACAUUCGUGGACUAUCAGCAUAGUGUUCAGGUGGUUAUAUAUUGUUUUAUUGAAGUUUAUGAAAGCUUAAUCUACAGUCUUACAAUCGGAUCAUGGAACAAAGUUAGAAGCUUGUUUUAAAUUUUGUUAUUACAAGCAGCAGCUUAUAGAAUAAGUGCAGCAUCAUUUUGCCAGAAACAUGAAUGAGUAAUGAUGCUAUUUCUGGAGUAUAAAGCCCUCAGGCUUCUCCCUCAAUUAUAUAGCCUUAUGGAUGUACACCAACUUCAUUACAAUGCAGUUACUUUCUUCUGUUUUGCAAGCAAUAUUACCCAGACAGUAGUGCUAUCCACCAUCAAUCAAAGAACUUGAGGAUGAAAUGAUAGUGGAAUUAAGGAUAUAAAGGGUUAGGAAAUCUCGGAUCGUCAUAAUUACUUGAAUUAUCUUCAAAAAGUUUUAUGUUAGGUUUUGUUAAAUCGAAUUCUGAUAUUGAUUUUAGAUUGAUAUCAAUCUUAUUUUGUAGCUGAAUCCCGAUUUAUACAGUUUUUGUGCUCUAACAUUUAAUAUUCCUUUGACGAUGACAAAAACUAUGGCAGUUCUUGACCAAGAGACGUGGGUUGCUGUUGACAUUCCUGAAGAAUUCCAAGUGAUUGUUUUGUCACUGCCAUCAACUGAGGUUCUUGUUAAUGAUGUUGAGAUGCCUAGCACUGGUAACAACUCAAAGCUCAGUGAGGAUGGAGUUUGUACAGGUCAAGAGUCGCAUAUUCAACUGAAAAUAAUGUUGAAAAUAACAGUGGAACAUCUAUGAGGUAUUUGUACCGUGUGCCUCUGAUUGAAGACAUGGUCAGAUCUAUGGUCAUGCCUUGAACUCAUCAGUGAAGCACCCUUGCUCAUGCCUUGAACUCAUCAGUGAAGCACCCUUGUUGAAAAUACUUUCCAUGGAGGUAACAGGAAAAUCGGGAUCAUACUUUAUGGAUGUGGAUUUUUGGGGCAAUGAUGAUGUUUUUCUACUGGGCUUAUUCUGCGAGGAAUGAUGACAUAUUUGUUUUGUCUAGCAUAAAACCUGAAGCUGCAGAGGACUUAAACUGCCAUGGUGUGACAUAUUAUUGUUUGGCAAUAGUCACUGAGGUUUCUAUGGUUGGUGAAUACCAGAACGGCUUCAGAGUCAAAGUUGCAAAGAAUAUUGGUCUGGACGAAGACUUAAACAAACUCGAACAUGCAAUAUUUCUCAAUAAUAUCACAAUAAACGUACGGAUAUGGAAAGCACUUACCUGCAAAACACACAUGAAUGACAAUUUCACACUAAUCAAGUCCCUCUUAGCCCCCACAAAUCUGGGUGAGGAUGUUUGUGGUAUCUGUGUUAAACAGGAUGGAGUCUGUUUGGCUUCUUUCGCAGAGACGUCCAGAAAUUAUUGGGCGAGGAUGCUAUUGAAUCUGUCAUCUCAGCUGUAAGAUGUGGGCGUGUGAAGUGUAUAUGGGUCCACCAGGUAUGCAAAGAAGCUGGAUUCGUGACAAGUUUAUUUGAGAGAUUGGUUAUGCUCAAAUUUGAUAAACAUUUGUUGAAUAUACAGUAUCACAUGAAUCCUUCUGUCAGCUUAUUUCCAAGUGCUAUGAGAGGAAGAUUUUAGAUGGUUCCAUUGUCAUGUCUCCUAGUUGUGAUAAGGAUUACACAUGCCUCCCUUUUGUCAGCUACAUGUUUCUAAAUGUCACUGAUGGAAGAGAAGCAACAAGACAAAGAGGGCACAUGAAGCAGUCGUAGAAACAUGGUUAAAGUUGCUGUUGUUUGCAACUAAUCCAUUCCAUCUUUAAAUGUUGGAUAAGGACAGACCAAGGGCUCAGCAUAGUCCGCGGUCUCUCCAUAUAUUGCUCAAGUUGAUGCAAUUAAAAGUCGACCUGCCAAAAAAAUAUGACACAUAUGAUGGCUUUCAUGUGCGGGUGAAGUCCAUUGAUGAUUUCCAAAGAGAAGAUGAUACAUCAAUACUAUCAACUGUUAAGAGAGGAGUUGUAGGAUUUCUUGCUGAUAACCAAAGAGCAAAUGUUGCUCUUACUAGAGCAAGGUGUGCAUCAAUUUAUUCGGGACCCCUUGUUUUAUUGCUGCUCAAAGUAUGUCAGACCGAUUCUUCAAAUUAUCAGAGAGAUGUAAAUGUGUUUUCAGUGCCACUAAUGAUGCAACCAUCUGUAAGUUGGUUCUGCAAGUAAAGCAAGAGCUUGAUGAACUUGACGAUCUUCUUAAUGCUGAUUCAGUGGGUUUCAGCCAUACCAGAUGGAAGGUAAGUAUUUAGCCAGUUUGACUUUGAACAUGCUUUCAUGUUUUCUAAUAUGUCGCUGCACUUAAAUUACCCAAAAUGCAAACAACAUGUAUGUACAUUUGUCCUAUUAGACUUAUGACUGUUGUCAGGGAGUUAUAGUUUAUUGAGUAUACAAUUCCUUUAUAGUGUGAUUUUGUUUGUGUUCAUGAAUAGAUCUGUACUUCACUUUUUAGAAUCAUGUAUGUGGUUCGCUUGUCUCUGCUAGGCUGUUUGCUCUGUAAUUGGAUUUUGCGAGGUUUGUAGGACAUGUGCUACUUUGUACCAUGCUAUGUUAAUCAUUACGUGGUUCUUUACAUAGAGUACGUGUCAUCUUGAGAACCUCCUAGUUUUCUUGAAGAACACAUUGUCCUUUCAUUUUUCUCGUAUAUGUUAGGAAAUAUGCAACUUAUAUUUUUAGGUGGCCAUAGGCCAAUAUAU
Long non-coding RNA from Triticum aestivum (bread wheat), 4798 nucleotides. RefSeq lists it as uncharacterized. NCBI's taxonomy places the organism in Eukaryota, Viridiplantae, Streptophyta, Magnoliopsida, Poales, Poaceae. The record is from RefSeq and is a predicted model, not a curated record. The transcript has 9 exons.